RNAcentral lists this ribosomal RNA (274 nucleotides) under uncultured bacterium. RNAcentral describes it as "partial 16S ribosomal RNA". It matches the Rfam family "Bacterial small subunit ribosomal RNA", at positions 523 to 796 of the family's 1533-position model. The record is from RNAcentral.
AUACGGAGGGUGCAAGCGUUAUUCGGAAUCACUGGGCGUAAAGAGUACGUAGGCGGAUCGUUAAGUUAGAGGUGAAAUCCCAGGGCUCAACCCUGGAACUGCCUUUAAUACUGGCGAUCUAGAGAUCGAGAGAGGUGAGUGGAAUUUCCAGUGUAGAGGUGAAAUUCGUAGAUAUUGGAAAGAACACCAGUGGCGAAGGCGGCUCACUGGCUCGAUACUGACGCUGAGGUACGAAAGCGUGGGGAGCAAACAGGAUUAGAUACCCCAGUAGUCC